GACGAACGCUGGCGGCGUGCUUAACACAUGCAAGUCGAACGGAAAGGCCCUGCUUUUGUGGGGUGCUCGAGUGGCGAACGGGUGAGUAACACGUGAGUAAACCGCCCUUGACUGUGGGAUAACUUCAGGAAACUGGGGCUAAUACCGGAUAGGAGCUCCUGCAGCACGGGGGGGGUUGGAAAGUUUCGGCGGUUGUGGAUGGACUCGCGGCUUAUCAGCUUGUUGGUGGGGUAGUGGCUUACCAGGGCUUUGACGGGUAGCCGGCCUGAGAGGGUGACCGGCCACAUUGGGACUGAGAUACGGACCAGUCUCCUACGGGCGGCAGCAGUGGGGAAUAUUGCACAACGGGCGGAAGCCUGAUGCAGCAACGCCGCGUGCGGGAUGACGGCCUUCGGGUUGUAAACCGCUGUCGCCUGUGACGAAGCGUGAGUGACGGUAAUGGGUAAAGAAGCAACGGCUAACUACGUG
Molecule: ribosomal RNA, 468 nt
Filed under: uncultured bacterium
Lineage: Bacteria
Description: partial 16S ribosomal RNA
Rfam family: Bacterial small subunit ribosomal RNA
Source: RNAcentral